CAUAUCAUGCGCACGCAGCAACACACCCCAAGGGUGUGUUAGGAAAUUCUUGUGAAUGGAAACCUUUUCCCACGAGGAGAAGGAUUCCUUCCCCCACCAGGAAUUCAAAACUUUCCUUUCCUAAGAAGGAGUGAAGUCUUUUCCCAACGGGCCUCCUAAUCCAACUCAACAACAAAAGAAAGGUCUACCUAACCAGGCCUAAGAAGGACUCAAGGUCACGAAAGUGAAAAGCUUGCAGUAGCUCGCGAGCUUAAGGGGGAACUUAAUAU
Molecule: long non-coding RNA, 269 nt
Filed under: Carica papaya (papaya)
Lineage: Eukaryota; Viridiplantae; Streptophyta; Magnoliopsida; Brassicales; Caricaceae
Description: long non-coding RNA (CPAP_LNC005473)
Source: RNAcentral